UCCCCUAGUAACUGCGAGUGAAGCGGGAAAAGCUCAAAUUUAAAAUCUGAUGGUCUUUGACCGUCCGAGUUGUAGUCUAGAGAAGUGAUACCCGCGCUGGACCAUGUGCAAGUCUCCUGGAAUGGGGCAUCAUAGAGGGUGAGAAUCCCGUCUUUGACAUGGACUACCAGGGCUUUGUGGUGAGCUCUCAAAGAGUCGAGUUGUUUGGGAAUGCAGCUCAAAAUGGGUGGUAAAUGCCAUCUAAAGCUAAAUAUUGGCGAGAGACCGAUAGCGAACAAGUACCGUGAGGGAAAGAUGAAAAGAACUUUGGAAAGAGAGUUAAACAGUACGUGAAAUUGCUGAAAGGGAAACGCUUGAAGUCAGUCGCAUCGACUGGAAAUCAACCAUGCUUUUGCUUGGCAUACUUUCCAGCUGGUGGGUCAGCAUCAUUUCCGAUAGCUGGACAAAGGCUUGGGGAAUGUGGCAUCUUAGGAUGUGUUAUAGCCCUUGGUCGCAUACAGCUGUUGGGAUUGAGGAACUCAGCACGCCGCGAGGCCAGGUCUUUCAUAGAUCAUGUUCGUGCUUGGGAUGCUGGCAUAAUGGCUUUAAUCGACCCGUCUUGAAACACGGACCAAGGAGUCUAACAUGCCUGCGAGUGUUUGGGUGGAAAACCCAUGCGCGCAAUGAAAGUGAAACAGGUUGAGAUCCCUGUCAUGGGGAGCAUCGACGCC
Molecule: ribosomal RNA, 710 nt
Filed under: Inocybe sp.
Lineage: Eukaryota; Fungi; Basidiomycota; Agaricomycetes; Agaricales; Inocybaceae
Description: LSU rRNA
Rfam family: Eukaryotic large subunit ribosomal RNA
Source: RNAcentral